GAUGAACGCUAGCGAUAGGCCUAACACAUGCAAGUCGAGGGGCAUCACAUGAAGUAGCAAUACGGAUGGUGGCGACCGGCGCACGGGUGAGUAACACGUAUGCAACCUGCCUUCAACAAGGGGAUAACCCGUUGAAAGACGGACUAAUACCCUAUAACACAGGGGUCCCGCAUGGGAAUAUUUGUUAAAGGACAACCGGUUGAAGAUGGGCAUGCGUUCCAUUAGCUAGUUGGCGGGGUAACGGCCCACCAAGGCAACGAUGGAUAGGGGAACUGAGAGGUUUAUCCCCCACACUGGUACUGAGACACGGACCACGACUCCUACGGGAGGCAGCAGUGGAGGAAUAUUGGUCAAUGGACGCAAGUCUGAACCAGCCACGUCGCGUGAAGGAAGACGGCCCUA
This 402-nucleotide ribosomal RNA is filed under the name uncultured bacterium. Its description in RNAcentral is "bacterial SSU rRNA". It matches the Rfam family "Bacterial small subunit ribosomal RNA", at positions 28 to 419 of the family's 1533-position model. The record is from RNAcentral.